ACAAUGGAGAGUUUGAUCCUGGCUCAGGAUGAACGCUAGCGGCAGGCUUAACACAUGCAAGUCGAGGGGUAACAGGGGAGCUUGCUCCCGCUGACGACCGGCGCACGGGUGCGUAACACGUAUGCAACUUGCCCUAUACUGGGGAAUAGCCCGGAGAAAUCCGGAUUAAUGCCCCAUACCACGGGAGAUGGCAUCUUCCUCCGUUGAAAGCUCCGGCGGUAUAGGAUAGGCAUGCGGCCGAUUAGCUAGUAGGUGAGGUAAUGGCUCACCUAGGCUACGAUCGGUAGGGGGCCUGAGAGGGUUAUCCCCCACACUGGUACUGAGACACGGACCAGACUCCUACGGGAGGCAGCAGUGAGGAAUAUUGCGCAAUGGAGGCAACUCUGACGCAGCCAUGCCGCGUGCAGGAUGACUGCCCUACGGGUUGUAAACUGCUUUUAUAUAGGAAGAAACCCCUUUACGUGUAGAGG
This 470-nucleotide ribosomal RNA is filed under the name Flavobacteriales bacterium. Its description in RNAcentral is "bacterial SSU rRNA". It matches the Rfam family "Bacterial small subunit ribosomal RNA", at positions 1 to 467 of the family's 1533-position model. Lineage: Bacteria; Pseudomonadati; Bacteroidota; Flavobacteriia; Flavobacteriales. The record is from RNAcentral.